RNAcentral lists this ribosomal RNA (397 nucleotides) under uncultured bacterium. RNAcentral describes it as "partial 16S ribosomal RNA". It matches the Rfam family "Bacterial small subunit ribosomal RNA", at positions 523 to 918 of the family's 1533-position model. The record is from RNAcentral.
AUACGUAGGUGACAAGCGUUAUCCGGAUUUACUGGGCGUAAAGGGCGUGUAGGCGGUCUUGCAAGUCAGAAGUGAAAUUCCUGAGCUCAACUCGGGCGCUGCUUCUGAAACUGCAGGACUUGAGUGCUGGAGGGGAUAGCGGAAUUCCUAGUGGAGCGGUAAAAUGCGCAGAUAUUAGGAAGAACACCGGUGGCGAAGGCGGAUUUCUGGACGGUAAUUGACGAUGAGGCGCGAAAGCGUGGGGUGCAAACAGGAUUAGAUACCAGGGUAGUCCACGCCGUAAACGAUGAAUACUAGGUGGAGGGGGUAUCGACUCCCUCUGUGCCGCAGUUAACACAAUAAGGAUUCCGCCUGGGGAGUACGGCCGCAAGGUUGAAGCUCAAAGGAAUUGACGGGG